RNAcentral lists this long non-coding RNA (597 nucleotides) under Mus musculus (house mouse). Its description in RNAcentral is "long non-coding RNA chr2:112190677-112191274". The record is from RNAcentral. Lineage: Eukaryota; Metazoa; Chordata; Mammalia; Rodentia; Muridae.
GGUUAUCUGCUUCCUUAAUUAAUGCAGUCUCAGGUCCCGAGAGAUUGGAUUGGAGCAGGUGCUGUGUUCCACUCACCAGAGGUCUUAGGAUCCCGUGGCAGAUCCUGUGUGGGUCCUUGCGGGUGUCCGGAGACUCCCCGGGCCAGGGACCCUGGUGCUGCAGUGGACCGGAAGGCCGAUCUCAGUUUUAUUGGAUGGUAACAAAAACAUGUGUACAUGAUGUCUGCUUGUAGUCUUCUCUUGCCUCAUUCUCUCACUAUAAAUUUAGACCUCCAUCCAAAUAGAAUUAAAGGCCUCCUGGUUAUUAUUCUAGUUAUUACUUUAAUGUUUACAUUUUGUUUUUCAAAUCAAAUUGACUUAACAGUCUCAGAUGAGCUCACUGAAUUACCUUGGCAGGAAAAAUAUAUUGCCGAUAUCCUCAUAUUCCUUUAGACAAAUUCUAUACUAGAGGGCACUUCAAUAGUUUAGCAGGAAACUUUAGCAUAAAACAUCACACCAACACAAAGAAAUAAAAGAUUUUCAAACUUGAAACAGGGACCAUAGAAAGAAAUUUUCACUUUUUCCCUAUGGUGUAAUUUCUAAAGAAAGAAUUUACUC